This 710-nucleotide ribosomal RNA is filed under the name Roseovarius sp. RNAcentral describes it as "bacterial SSU rRNA". It matches the Rfam family "Bacterial small subunit ribosomal RNA", at positions 36 to 796 of the family's 1533-position model. Lineage: Bacteria; Pseudomonadati; Pseudomonadota; Alphaproteobacteria; Rhodobacterales; Roseobacteraceae. The record is from RNAcentral.
CCAGGGGGCAGCUACACAUGCAGUCGAGCGAGAACUUCGGUUCUAGCGGCGGACGGGUUAGUAACGCGUGGGAACGUGCCCUUCACUACGGAAUAGUCCCGGGAAACUGGGUUUAAUACCGUAUACGCCCUUCGGGGGAAAGAAUUUCGGUGAAGGAUCGGCCCGCGUUAGAUUAGAUAGUUGGUGGGGUAACGGCCUACCAAGUCUACGAUCUAUAGCUGGUUUUAGAGGAUGAUCAGCAACACUGGGACUGAGACACGGCCCAGACUCCUACGGGAGGCAGCAGUGGGGAAUCUUAGACAAUGGGCGCAAGCCUGAUCUAGCCAUGCCGCGUGAGUGAUGAAGGCCUUAGGGUCGUAAAGCUCUUUCGCCAGGGAUGAUAAUGACAGUACCUGGUAAAGAAACCCCGGCUAACUCCGUGCCAGCAGCCGCGGUAAUACGGAGGGGGUUAGCGUUGUUCGGAAUUACUGGGCGUAAAGCGCGCGUAGGCGGAUUGGAAAGUUGGGGGUGAAAUCCCAGGGCUCAACCCUGGAACUGCCUCCAAAACUAUCAGUCUAGAGUUCGAGAGAGGUGAGUGGAACUCCGAGUGUAGAGGUGAAAUUCGUAGAUAUUCGGAAGAACACCAGUGGCGAAGGCGGCUCACUGGCUCGAUACUGACGCUGAGGUGCGAAAGUGUGGGGAGCAAACAGGAUUAGAUACCCUGGUAGUCC